GACGAACGCUGGCGGCAUGCCUAAUACAUGCAAGUCGAGCGAACAGAUGAAGUGCUUGCACUUCUGACGUUAGCGGCGAACGGGUGAGUAACACGUAAGGAAUCUACCUAUAAGCGGGGGAUAACAUUCGGAAACGGGUGCUAAUACCGCAUAAUAUCUUCUUCCGCAUGGAAGAAGAUUGAAAGACGGCUCUUCUGUCACUUAUAGAUGACCUUGCGGUGCAUUAGUUAGUUGGUGGGGUAAUGGCCUACCAAGACAAGGAUGCAUAGCCGACCUGAGAGGGUGAUCGGCCACAUUGAGACUGAGACACGGCCCAAACUCCUACGGGGGGCAGCAGUAGGGAAUCUUCCGCAAUGGGCGAAAGCCUGACGGAGCAAUGCCGCGUGAGUGAAGAAGGCCUUCGGGUCGUAAAACUCUGUUAUAAGAGAAGAACAAAUUGUAGAGUGACUGCUACAGUCUUGACGGUAUCUUAUCAGAAAGCCACGGCUAACUACGUGCCAGCAGCCGCCGUAA
RNAcentral lists this ribosomal RNA (513 nucleotides) under uncultured bacterium. RNAcentral describes it as "partial 16S ribosomal RNA". It matches the Rfam family "Bacterial small subunit ribosomal RNA", at positions 28 to 523 of the family's 1533-position model. The record is from RNAcentral.